Molecule: ribosomal RNA, 520 nt
Filed under: uncultured Glomus
Lineage: Eukaryota; Fungi; Glomeromycota; Glomeromycetes; Glomerales; Glomeraceae
Description: SSU rRNA
Rfam family: Eukaryotic small subunit ribosomal RNA
Source: RNAcentral
AGCAGCCGCGGUAAUUCCAGCUCCAAUAGCGUAUAUUAAAGUUGUUGCAGUUAAAAAGCUCGUAGUUGAAUUUCGGGAUUAGUACGUCGGUCGUGCCUUCGGUACGUACUGGUGUUACUGAUUCCUACCUUCUGACGAACCAUCAUGUCAUUAAUUUGGUGUGGCGGGGAAUCAGGACUGUUACUUUGAAAAAAUUAGAGUGUUUAAAGCAGGCUCGCGCUUGAAUACAUUAGCAUGGAAUAAUGAAAUAGGACGUUGACCCUAUUUUGUUGGUUUCUAGGAUUGACGUAAUGAUUAAUAGGGAUAGUUGGGGGCAUUAGUAUUCAAUUGUCAGAGGUGAAAUUCUUGGAUUUAUUGAAGACUAACUACUGCGAAAGCAUUUGCCAAGGAUGUUUUCAUUAAUCAAGAACGAAAGUUAGGGGAUCGAAGACGAUCAGAUACCGUCGUAGUCUUAACCAUAAACUAUGCCGACUAGGGAUCGGAUGAUGUUAUUUUUAAUGACUCAUUCGGCGUCCUUACG